CUCCUCCCAACUCCCAUCACUACAACUUCAGCUUCUCCCCCUGAUUUUUAAUGCACCAAGCGUGCAAGACUCGAGGCUCUGGAAAAAAGAUGUCCCGAAAGGCGAGCACUUGCCGUAUACCAACUCAGCUGCUCACGAUCCAACUCAUUCUGCUAGUUUUCUUGAUUGGUGGCAGCCUCCCCAGCACAGCAAGAGCUUAUCUUCUUGGUGUGAGGAGCGUACACUACCGCCCGAAUCCCCUUGAUAAAUCGGGAAACUGUGAGUAUAGUAGUAUACUGAAGUCAUUACUAACAGCAAUCAAAUUGUGAGUAGGAGCAUGUGAAGGGUAUUGCUAUCCCGUUCUGACCUCUUGUUGAAUGCUUAUCAACUAGUAUUUCCUUUUACCAUUUCUGCAGUAAAUCCUCAUGGCGAACCAGAAACCGCUGGAGCAAAUCCUCGUGGUUCCCGAAGGGUCCCUUGGGACACAAGAAAUCACAAGCACAGAGGCUGAGAAGCGUGGACGCAGUGAGACAAAGGGAUUAGUUGAUGGGCGUGCUACUUGUACUUGUGAGCUAUGCAGCUUGUUAAACAAAGUUUAUAUGCAACUAGUCAUUUCUGUUGGGCAGUUGGGCAGUUGGGCAGGCAAAAAACCAUCAUCUACACUUUGUUUGGUUGCUUGCAUAUAGGCUGCCUGCAUUAGGGGAGUAUUUUCUGCCUGCUGUUUGGUUGCGUGCAUUGGCUUGGCAGAUGGAAGUGCCCGGUGUUUGGUUGCAUACAUGCAACGUGAGUAGGAGUUAAUACCUACACAUGACACACUUAGUUAGAGUAGAGU
RNAcentral lists this long non-coding RNA (811 nucleotides) under Triticum aestivum (bread wheat). RNAcentral's name for it is "long non-coding RNA (TAES_LNC015014)". The record is from RNAcentral. Lineage: Eukaryota; Viridiplantae; Streptophyta; Magnoliopsida; Poales; Poaceae.